This 1006-nucleotide ribosomal RNA is filed under the name Hyaloperonospora parasitica. RNAcentral's name for it is "LSU rRNA". It matches the Rfam family "Eukaryotic large subunit ribosomal RNA", at positions 64 to 866 of the family's 3401-position model. Lineage: Eukaryota; Oomycota; Peronosporomycetes; Peronosporales; Peronosporaceae. The record is from RNAcentral.
ACUACAGGAUUCCCCUAGUAACGGCGAGUGAAGCGGGAUGAGCUCAAGCUUAAAAUCUCUGUCACAAAUUUAUUUUGUGCGGCGAAUUGUAGUCUAUAGAGGCGUGAUCAGUGUAGGCGCUUGAGGUAAGUUCCUUGAAAAAGGACAGCAUGGAGGGUGAAACUCCCGUUCAUACUUAAGUGGCUUGCACGUACGAUUCGUUUUCUUUGAGUCGCGUUGUUUGAGAAUGCAGCGCAAAGUAGGUGGUAAAUUCCAUCUAAAGCUAAAUAUUGGUGCGAGACCGAUAGCGAACAAGUACCGUGAGGGAAAGAUGAAAAGAACUCUGAAAAGAGAGUUAAAGAGUACCUGAAACUGCUGAAAGGGAACCAAAUCGUUUCUAGUGUCUAUAAUCUAUGACAUAUUUCAUUGGGAAGUGUGUGCGUGUGUAUACUAUGGCAGCGGCUUUUUUAGUUGCGCUUGGUGUGCGUGCUGUAUGUACUAACUGAUGCCCUGUGUUAUAGUGGGACGUCAAGGUCAGUUUGUAUACUGCGGGAAAUGGCUACUGAGGAGGUAGGGCUUACGCUUGCGUUUGUCUAUUAUAUCUUGGUAGUUGUGUCGUGGUUGAGACUGAGGUGUUCUACAACGUGCUUAUGAGUGGGUCUACGUCUCCGUGUGCGCCGUGUGCAGAUAGCUUGCUAUGUGUAUGUGGUGGUGUGUGGAUUGAUAUGGGCUUUAUCUUACUGCCGUUCGGGACUUUGACGAAAUAGAGCGAUUUGACCCGUCUUGAAACACGGACCAAGGAGUCUAACAUAUGUGCAAGUGUUAGGGUGUGGAAACCCCAGCGCGAAAUGAAAGUAAAGGAUAGUGUAAACUAUCUUAGGUAGGAAACGUUAUGAACUUCGGUUUGUGGCGUGGCACUAUCGACCGAUCAUGAACCCUCGUGGUGAAAGAUUUGAGUUUGAGCACAUAUGUUGGUACCCGAAAGAUGGUGAACUAUGCCUGAGUAGGGGAARCCAGGGAAACUCUG